RNAcentral lists this ribosomal RNA (1122 nucleotides) under Escherichia coli. Its description in RNAcentral is "partial 23S ribosomal RNA". It matches the Rfam family "Bacterial large subunit ribosomal RNA", at positions 296 to 1426 of the family's 2925-position model. Lineage: Bacteria; Pseudomonadati; Pseudomonadota; Gammaproteobacteria; Enterobacterales; Enterobacteriaceae. The record is from RNAcentral.
AGCCCAGAGCCUGAAUCAGUGUGUGUGUUAGUGGAAGCGUCUGGAAAGGCGCGCGAUACAGGGUGACAGCCCCGUACACAAAAAUGCACAUGCUGUGAGCUCGAUGAGUAGGGCGGGACACGUGGUAUCCUGUCUGAAUAUGGGGGGACCAUCCUCCAAGGCUAAAUACUCCUGACUGACCGAUAGUGAACCAGUACCGUGAGGGAAAGGCGAAAAGAACCCCGGCGAGGGGAGUGAAAAAGAACCUGAAACCGUGUACGUACAAGCAGUGGGAGCACGCUUAGGCGUGUGACUGCGUACCUUUUGUAUAAUGGGUCAGCGACUUAUAUUCUGUAGCAAGGUUAACCGAAUAGGGGAGCCGAAGGGAAACCGAGUCUUAACUGGGCGUUAAGUUGCAGGGUAUAGACCCGAAACCCGGUGAUCUAGCCAUGGGCAGGUUGAAGGUUGGGUAACACUAACUGGAGGACCGAACCGACUAAUGUUGAAAAAUUAGCGGAUGACUUGUGGCUGGGGGUGAAAGGCCAAUCAAACCGGGAGAUAGCUGGUUCUCCCCGAAAGCUAUUUAGGUAGCGCCUCGUGAAUUCAUCUCCGGGGGUAGAGCACUGUUUCGGCAAGGGGGUCAUCCCGACUUACCAACCCGAUGCAAACUGCGAAUACCGGAGAAUGUUAUCACGGGAGACACACGGCGGGUGCUAACGUCCGUCGUGAAGAGGGAAACAACCCAGACCGCCAGCUAAGGUCCCAAAGUCAUGGUUAAGUGGGAAACGAUGUGGGAAGGCCCAGACAGCCAGGAUGUUGGCUUAGAAGCAGCCAUCAUUUAAAGAAAGCGUAAUAGCUCACUGGUCGAGUCGGCCUGCGCGGAAGAUGUAACGGGGCUAAACCAUGCACCGAAGCUGCGGCAGCGACGCUUAUGCGUUGUUGGGUAGGGGAGCGUUCUGUAAGCCUGUGAAGGUGUGCUGUGAGGCAUGCUGGAGGUAUCAGAAGUGCGAAUGCUGACAUAAGUAACGAUAAAGCGGGUGAAAAGCCCGCUCGCCGGAAGACCAAGGGUUCCUGUCCAACGUUAAUCGGGGCAGGGUGAGUCGACCCCUAAGGCGAGGCCGAAAGGCGUAGUCGAUGGGAAAC